RNAcentral lists this signal recognition particle RNA (97 nucleotides) under Jannaschia ovalis. Its description in RNAcentral is "Jannaschia sp. GRR-S6-38 signal recognition particle sRNA small type". It matches the Rfam family "Bacterial small signal recognition particle RNA". From Rfam's summary of the family: The signal recognition particle (SRP) is a universally conserved ribonucleoprotein involved in the co-translational targeting of proteins to membranes. Archaeal SRP consists of a 7S RNA and homologues of the eukaryotic SRP19 and SRP54 proteins. The record is from RNAcentral. Lineage: Bacteria; Pseudomonadati; Pseudomonadota; Alphaproteobacteria; Rhodobacterales; Roseobacteraceae.
GAGAGGCCGGCGCGGGCAGGCGCUUCGCCAACCUGGUCAGGUCCGGAAGGAAGCAGCCACAACGAUAUCCGCCUGGGUCGCUGUCCGGUCUCUCACC